AUGCGAUACUUGGUGUGAAUUGCAGAAUUCAGUGAAUCAUCGAAUCUUUGAACGCACCUUGCGCUCCUUGGUAUUCCGAGGAGCAUGCCUGUUUGAGUGUCAUGGUAUUCUCAACCCACACAUCCUUGUGAUGUUCGUAGGGCUUGGACUUGGAGGCUUGCUGGCCGUCGCGGUCGGCUCCUCUUGAAUGCAUUAGCUUGGUUCCUUGCGGAUCGGCUCUCAGUGUGAUAAUUGUCUACGCUGUGACCGUGAAGCGUUUGGCGAGCUUCUAACCGUCCUGCUAGGGACGAAACUUACUUGACAUCUGACCUCAAAUCAGGUAGGACUACCCGCUGAACUUAAGCAUAUCAAUAAGCGGAGGAA
This 363-nucleotide ribosomal RNA is filed under the name Lenzites sp. BAB-3976. Its description in RNAcentral is "eukaryotic LSU rRNA". The stretch from base 1 to 102 matches the Rfam family "5.8S ribosomal RNA", at positions 53 to 154 of the family's 154-position model. Lineage: Eukaryota; Fungi; Basidiomycota; Agaricomycetes; Polyporales; Polyporaceae. The record is from RNAcentral.